UGAGGAAUCUUGCGCAAUGGGCGAAAGCCUGACGCAGCCACGCCGCGUGCCGGAUGAAGGCCCUAUGGGUUGUAAACGGCUUUUACUAGGGAAGAACGAGAGGGUUUCGAUCUUCUGUGACGGUACCUAGUGAAUAAGCACCGGCUAACUCCGUGCCAGCAGCCGCGGUAAUACGGAGGGUGCAAGCGUUGUCCGGAAUCAUUGGGUGUAAAGGGUACGUAGGCGGGAGCCUAAGUCUGGGGUGAAAUCUUGCCGCUUAACGGUAAAAUGGCCCUGGAUACUGGGUUUCUUGAGUGCAGAAGAGGCAGGUGGAAUUCGUGGUGUAGCGGUGAAAUGCUUAGAUAUCACGAAGAACAUCAGUGGCGAAGGCGGCCUGCUGGUCUGCAACUGACGCUGAGGUACGAAAGCGUGGGGAGCGAACAGGAUUAGAUACCCUGGUAGUCCACGCCGUAAACGAUGCAUACUAGGUGUUGGCCUUAGGGCCAGUGCUGCAGUUAACGCAUUAAGUAUGCCACCUGGGGAGUACGUCGGCAACGAUG
This 539-nucleotide ribosomal RNA is filed under the name uncultured bacterium. Its description in RNAcentral is "bacterial SSU rRNA". It matches the Rfam family "Bacterial small subunit ribosomal RNA", at positions 355 to 896 of the family's 1533-position model. The record is from RNAcentral.